Molecule: ribosomal RNA, 253 nt
Filed under: uncultured bacterium
Lineage: Bacteria
Description: partial 16S ribosomal RNA
Rfam family: Bacterial small subunit ribosomal RNA
Source: RNAcentral
UACAGAGGUCUCAAGCGUUGUUCGGAUUCAUUGGGCGUAAAGGGUGCGUAGGCGGCGCGGUAAGUCGGAUGUGAAAUCUCGGAGCUUAACUUCGAAACUGCAUUCGAUACUGCCGUGCUUGAGGACUGGAGAGGAGACUGGAAUUUACGGUGUAGCGGUGAAAUGCGUAGAUAUCGUAGGGAAGACCAGUGGCGAAGGCGGGUCUCUGGACAGUUCCUGACGCUGAGGCACGAAGGUCAGGGGAGCAAACGGG